Molecule: ribosomal RNA, 414 nt
Filed under: uncultured eukaryote
Lineage: Eukaryota
Description: SSU rRNA
Rfam family: Eukaryotic small subunit ribosomal RNA
Source: RNAcentral
CAAUAGCGUAUAUUAAAGUUGUUGCGGUUAAAAGCUCGUAGUUGGAUUUCUGCCGAGGACGACCGGUCCGCCCUCUGGGUGAGCAUCUGGGACGGCCUGGGCAUCCUCUUGGGGAACGUAGCUGCACUUGACUGUGUGGUGCGGUAUCCAGGACUUUACUUGAGGAAAUUAGAGUGUUUCAAGCAGGCGCACGCCUUGAAUACAUUAGCAUGGAAUAAUAAGAUAGGACCUCGGUUCUAUUUUGUUGGUUUCUAGAGCUGAGGUAAUGAUUAAUAGGGACAAUUGGGGCGAUUCGUAUCAACACGUUAGAGGUGAAAUUCUUGGAUCGUGUUGCGACGAACUACUGCGAAAGCAUUUGCCAAGGAUGUUUUCAUUGAUCAAGAACGAAAGUAAGGGGAUCGAAGAUGAUUAGAU